CUUCCACUCUUCCACUCCUCCACCCCACUUUCCGUGUUCCAGCCCGUUCCACGAGCCGAGCAGAUACUCACAAUCUUGGCAUUAAUCAGGUCCGGAGGGCGGUAUCCGCUGCGCUUUCGGAGACACAUCCGCCCUGACUCAGUCGCUGAAUCGGAAGAAGAAGGAGACCUCCUCCUCCUCCUCCCCCUUCUGCUGCUCUCCUCCUGCUCGGGUUUUUCCCAGAGAGAGAGAGAGAGUGCGAUAGAGAGACACCCGCGGAGAGUGCGCGUGCGAGAGAGGGAUCGAGAUCACCGCCCCGGUGGACACGGGCGGCAGAGCGCAUGCGCCGAGCCAUACGUCCUUCCAAGCAGGGGACCCGGGGUUUUCUUUAGUAAAGCUACUUUAAGCGUGUUUUCUAGAUACGUAUUUCCCUCAUAAGCACUGUAGACAUCAUUAAUAUUUUCCAAAACUUAUCUAAGAAAAGUUUCAAUAACUAAAUAUUUGUUGCACAAAAGCAUAUUUACUUGCAAAACACAUAAAUGUGCUUUAUUUUUAUUACAAAUGCUUGUAUACGUACCAAAAAUAUAAGAUAGUAAUAGGAUUUCGUCUUAGCUUUCUACUUAUUGUUUUUUUUAAAGUUAUGUUUUCAGUGCAUUGUGCUGUGGGAGGUAACACCAAAUAUGUGUAGAAAAAUGGCCUAUUCUUUUUUUUGUUAUUAUUCUUAAGGGAUAUCUUUAUAUUCAAAACAUAAUGCAGCUUGAGAAGCUGAAAUAUCAUGGCACAAUGCUGCUUGACAUGGUAUAGGCUGGCAUUUAAAAGGCAGCCAAUCAAGGAGCACCAUCCAUGUCAUGGUAUGAACGAAUGCAACCAUGACAGAGCCACUACCGUGUUUUGCAAUUGGCUGCAGACACUUGCUGUUAGAACUCUCCUUGUUGUUGCAGCGGUUUCCACAGUUGAGCUCAUAACCCCACAGAGUCUGAAACACAGUCUGACAUCAGGUCAGAUUAGAAAGUGAAUGCUGUAAUAAUCUUUGUUUAAACAGAUAAAACCUCACUGAUGUCCUUUUCAAGAGGCAGGUGGUAAGAUAUUAGCAAUGUCUACAAGUAUCAGCAUUUACAUUCACGCAGUGACAUUAAUUAAUUUAGCUUUGAAAGCAUCAGAGCAUGAACACUAAUAGCAUGUGCGGUUGCACCUUAAUUUAUUUGGCUUAUUUGGUGUGAGAAGUUAUUCUCAGAUCCUCUGUUGGGUUUUGUCUAGAUUUUUCUUGUCACUUUCUUUAUGAAAUGACAUUUGAAUUGCUUUUAUAUCUCAUUUUAAUUGUGACAAAAUGUCGUUUCACAGACAUUUUUACAAAUAUACUGCACACUUUGCACAUUUUCUAUAUGUUGGUCUCGACAAAUAAUUGCAUAUUAGUGCAGAACAAUGUAAAGUAUUAUAAAAUCUAUCAAUUCGGCAUGUCCUGUUGUUUCUAGAUGCUAGAAAUGCAAAAUUUUCAACAGGCUUUGUGUGAAGUGCCUAAAAUAUGAUUUAAUUUAACUUUAGAAAGUCUUUUAUGCCCCAAU
Long non-coding RNA from Xiphophorus couchianus (Monterrey platyfish), 1541 nucleotides. RefSeq lists it as uncharacterized. The record is from RefSeq and is a predicted model, not a curated record. The transcript has 2 exons. NCBI's taxonomy places the organism in Eukaryota, Metazoa, Chordata, Actinopteri, Cyprinodontiformes, Poeciliidae.